This 305-nucleotide ribosomal RNA is filed under the name uncultured bacterium. RNAcentral's name for it is "bacterial SSU rRNA". It matches the Rfam family "Bacterial small subunit ribosomal RNA", at positions 333 to 652 of the family's 1533-position model. The record is from RNAcentral.
UGCGCCCUACGGGGGGCAGCAGUGGGGAAUAUUGGGCAAUGGGCGCAAGCCUGACCCAGCAACGCCGCGUGAAGGAAGAAGGCUUUCGGGUUGUAAACUUCUUUUAUUCGGGACGAAGGAAGUGACGGUACCGAAUGAAUAAGCCACGGCUAACUACGUGCCAGCAGCCGCGGUAAUACGUAGGUGGCAAGCGUUAUCCGGAUUUAUUGGGUGUAAAGGGCGUGUAGGCGGGAAUGCAAGUCAGAUGUGAAAACCCAGGGCUCAACCCUGAGCCUGCAUUUGAAACUGUAUUUCUUGAGUGCUGG